Neocloeon triangulifer is the source of this 1044-nucleotide long non-coding RNA. RefSeq lists it as uncharacterized. The record is from RefSeq and is a predicted model, not a curated record. Lineage: Eukaryota; Metazoa; Arthropoda; Insecta; Ephemeroptera; Baetidae. The transcript has 4 exons.
ACGAUUUUCUCAAAUUUCUAUGAAUUACAUCGCUUCAAAUUUUUAUAGUCCGCUGUCUUGGGAAAGGCUAUCAUCUGUGUGGUCCUGGCAAAGGUAAAUCUCAACUGUGGAUCCCUUGUGAUUUUCUGUGGCCUGGGACUGGGUAUUUCAAUGCGUGCAGUGAAUUUUCAAUAGUAAGGACUAAUUUUAAAUUAUCUUUGAAUUUUCAGGAGCAUACGCUUGCAUCAAUUAUAUGCCUUUAGUCAUUCUCAGCCUCCUCUUGAUCCUUUACGGCUUUGCCGAAAUAUUUUACCUACCCUCAGCUGUCUUCAUACCCUACGUUUAUUCGGUUUUUCGAUUGCCCUUUGAAAAAGGAACUUUUGCCUGCGAGGGAUUAUUUGCCCUUAUUUGGUUUCUCCUUGUGCCAUAUCCAUUGCGUGCAGCUUUCUUUGCUGUGAUGAUGAUGAUCGUAUAUUUUAAAUACGGUGGCUUGACAACUGACGUUUCCGCUUAGAAUGCUCAACCCUUAAACAAGAACAAUAGGAAUCGGAUUGUUGGCCUGAUAAUUUCUUGCAGUUCAUCAGUAUAAUUUCACGAAAUAAGAAAAUGCAAAAAAAGAGAUAAAUCUCAUUGUUUUGUGCAUGCAAUUGCUAUCUUAUUUAAUUUUUUUAAAUUUCUCUCAGAGCCUGAUAUUUUGGAAAUCUCUCAUCAUGACCCUUUUCUGGAUAGUUAAUUACCACUCUACUGCCUGCUCGAGCACUUUUGCUCAUUGUUAGAACCUGCAUAUAAAUUAAUUUCAAAUUUUGCAAAAAAUUUAAAAUUUCAGUGAUUGGCAACCAAAUCUUUGAAGAUCAGCUGAAUUUAAUGAACACAGUCGUCUACUUUGUUGUUGAAAUUUUUACUUUCACGCCAUUCCUCCAUACCCUAAUUGAAAGAGUCUUUGAAAUCCGGCUCAAAGCUAGGAUGCUUUCUACCUGACGUUCUCCACCCUAAUAGUAUUUUACCAGGCCAACCCACCAUUGCCUUCCCUCGCAUGCUCACCAAGACUACUCUUUAUCAUGUUCU